GAUGAACGCUGGCCGCGUGCCUAAUACAUGCAAGUCGAGCGAACAGACGAGGAGCUUGCUCCUCUGACGUUAGCGGCGGACGGGUGAGUAACACGUGGAUAACCUACCUAUAAGACUGGGAUAACUUCGGGAAACCGGAGCUAAUACCGGAUAAUAUAUUGAACCGCAUGGUUCAAUAGUGAAAGACGGUUUUGCUGUCACUUAUAGAUGGAUCCGCGCCGCAUUAGCUAGUUGGUAAGGUAACGGCUUACCAAGGCAACGAUGCGUAGCCGACCUGAGAGGGUGAUCGGCCACACUGGAACUGAGACACGGUCCAGACUCCUACGGGAUGCAGCAGUAGGGAAUCUUCCGCAAUGGGCGAAAGCCUGACGGAGCAACGCCGCGUGAGUGAUGAAGGUCUUCGGUUCGUAAAACUCUGUUAUGAGGGAAGAACAAAUGUGUAAGUAACUAUGCACGUCUUGACGGUACCUAAUCAGAAAGCCACGGCUAACUACGUG
This 497-nucleotide ribosomal RNA is filed under the name uncultured bacterium. RNAcentral's name for it is "partial 16S ribosomal RNA". It matches the Rfam family "Bacterial small subunit ribosomal RNA", at positions 28 to 507 of the family's 1533-position model. The record is from RNAcentral.